CUGGCCGCUGCAGCUGCACCCAGGGAGCUCCAGCCCCAUCAACUCGGAAGGGGCGGGGCUCCUGCUUGUUCCUGGCCCUUGCCUGCUCGUGGAGCGAGAGGGCCAGGUCAGCAGCAGCGGGUUGGGUGGCUGCAACUGCACCAGGGAGGGCAGAUCCUGCCUGUUCCCAGCCCCUUCCAAGAGCACAGGAAGGCUCGGAUCCACAGCUGCAGUUUUGGCUGAUGUAGCCCCGCUACGUAUUGCAGGAGGGUGGGGCUCCUGCCUGUUACGUGAAGCAGGGGGCCUGGAUCUGCUGCCGAGGUUUGAGGUUUGGGCGGCUGCAGUGGCACCCGGGAAGUUUCUGCCCCAAAUCAGAAGGAGUGGGGCUCCCACUGACUCCACAGAGUGUGCAGCCCCAGCCCUCCUCUCUGCUGCAGCCGGGGUAAUGGCAGCAGCUGUUGCCAUCAACUGCAUUUGGAAAUAGAACCUUAAAAGAGGUACUUAAGUUAAAAUGUGGUUUUAGGGUGGGUUCUAACUCAAUACCACUGUGCCCUUAUAAAAAGAGGAGAUUAGGACACAGUCGACAAAGAGGAUGACCAUGUGAGGACGCAGCAAAAAGGCGACCACCUGGGAGCCAAGGAGAGAGGCCUCAGAAGAAACAAAACCUGCCAACCCCUUGAACUCAGACUCUCAGCCUCCAAAAUUGUGAGAAAAUUCUUCUGUUGUUUAAACCAUCCAGUCUGUAGCAUUUUGCUAUGGCAGCCGUAGAAAACUCAUACAAAGGGUAACAGCAAGAGUCUAUUUGUCAAGAUUUCUCCCUAAAGCCCUUUGGCUACUCAGGAAGGCCCUGCGUGAAACUUGCCAAGGAUUCCAUAUGACAGCUUCUGCUUCACCUUCCACCAUGAUUGUAAGCUUCCAGAGGCUUCCCCAGAAGGAGAUGCCAACUCCAUGCUUCUUGUGCAGCCUGCAGCACCGAACAAAUUGCUUUCCACUCGUAAAAGCCACCCAUGAAAUCCUGGAAGCCUUCUCAAAAUGUAUGUGUCUCUAAAAUUGUUACUGGGAUGAUCAAGUCUCCAUUCCUUCAGAAUUCUUUCUUGGUUCUCCAAUUUUUGGAAUUUCAAUCAGGUGAUACCAGACGGGACUAGUCCCUCCUGACUUUUCCAAAGAGGACCUUCUGUUUUCACUGAAAGAUUCUAAAAUUCUAUACAAAAUCUGUUAUUGAUGCUAAAGAAUUAACCAAAGAACAAUUUCAAGCUUGAAUGUGAGUUGAGCCAGGCAGUGUAGGAAACUGAAUAACGGUCACCUACAGAUAUGAAGUCCUAAUCCCUGGAACUUGUAAAUGUUACCUUAUUUAGAAAAUGGGUCCUUGGGCCGGGUGCCUGUAAUCCCAGCACUUUGGGAGGCCAAGGCAGGUGGAUCACCUGAGGUCAGGAGUUCAAGACCAGCCUGGCCAACAUGGUGGAACCCCAUCUCUACUAAAAAUACAAAAAUUAGCUGGGCAUGAUGGUAGGUGCCUGCAAUCUCACCUACUCAGGAGGCUGAAGCGGGA
This 1528-nucleotide long non-coding RNA is filed under the name Homo sapiens (human). RNAcentral's name for it is "HSALNT0111761". The record is from RNAcentral. Lineage: Eukaryota; Metazoa; Chordata; Mammalia; Primates; Hominidae.